UUGUGCUAGAUGGGGAGUUAGCGGUGCCCUGUAACCCGGAACCCGCUAUACCGGGGUCGAAUUCCCACCCGAGGGUUUAGCAAUUGGUCUGUCCGACGGUUAAGCGGUGUUGAGGGUCGGGUCCUGUACAACAUAAGCCUAUAAACCCCGUCAGGACCGGGAGGUAGCAGCGGUAAGUAGUCCCUUGUGUGUGUUGCAGGCAAGCCCGGUCUGAGCUGGCUGGCCGAAAGGCGCUCCGAAGGCGGCUCGGAGGUGGGUGCACAA
This 264-nucleotide signal recognition particle RNA is filed under the name Candidatus Zixiibacteriota bacterium. Its description in RNAcentral is "signal recognition particle sRNA large type". It matches the Rfam family "Bacterial large signal recognition particle RNA". Rfam says of the family: The signal recognition particle (SRP) is a universally conserved ribonucleoprotein involved in the co-translational targeting of proteins to membranes. Archaeal SRP consists of a 7S RNA and homologues of the eukaryotic SRP19 and SRP54 proteins. Lineage: Bacteria; Pseudomonadati; Candidatus Zixiibacteriota. The record is from RNAcentral.